Molecule: ribosomal RNA, 319 nt
Filed under: uncultured eukaryote
Lineage: Eukaryota
Description: partial 18S ribosomal RNA
Rfam family: Eukaryotic small subunit ribosomal RNA
Source: RNAcentral
CCCUUAGAUGUUCUGGGCCGCACGCGCGCUACACUGACGAAUGCAACGAGCUUAUAACCUUGGCCGAAAGGUCUGGGUAAUCUCCAAAUUUCGUCGUGAUGGGGAUAGAUUAUUGCAAUUAUUAAUCUUCAACGAGGAAUGCCUAGUAAGCGCAGGUCAUUAGCCUGCGCUGAUUACGUCCCUGCCCUUUGUACACACCGCCCGUCGCUACUACCGAUUUCGAGUGGUCCGGUGAAGCUUUUGGACUGCGCGUGGCUUCGUGCCGUGUCGCGGAAAGUCAGCUAAACCUUAUCACUUAGAGGAAGUAAAAGUCGUAACA